RNAcentral lists this ribosomal RNA (517 nucleotides) under uncultured bacterium. RNAcentral describes it as "bacterial SSU rRNA". It matches the Rfam family "Bacterial small subunit ribosomal RNA", at positions 30 to 526 of the family's 1533-position model. The record is from RNAcentral.
CGAACGCUGGCGGCGUGCCUAAUACAUGCAAGUCGAGCGGACUUGAUGAAGUGCUUGCACUUCUGAUGGUUAGCGGCGGACGGGUGAGUAACACGUAGGCAACCUGCCCUUUAGUCUGGGAUAACUACCGGAAACGGUAGCUAAUACCGGAUAAUUCCUUCUGGCUCCUGCCGGAGGGAUGAAAGACGGAGCAAUCUGUCACUAAGGGAUGGGCCUGCGGCGCAUUAGCUAGUUGGUGAGGUAAUGGCUCACCAAGGCGACGAUGCGUAGCCGACCUGAGAGGGUGAACGGCCACACUGGGACUGAGACACGGCCCAGACUCCUACGGGAGGCAGCAGUAGGGAAUCUUCCGCAAUGGGCGAAAGCCUGACGGAGCAACGCCGCGUGAGUGAUGAAGGUUUUCGGAUCGUAAAGCUCUGUUGCCAGGGAAGAACGUCCGGUAGAGUAACUGCUACCGGAGUGACGGUACCUGAGAAGAAAGCCCCGGCUAACUACGUGCCAGCCGCCGCCGUAAAAC